Molecule: ribosomal RNA, 483 nt
Filed under: uncultured bacterium
Lineage: Bacteria
Description: partial 16S ribosomal RNA
Rfam family: Bacterial small subunit ribosomal RNA
Source: RNAcentral
AUUGAACGCUGGCGGCAGGCCUAACACAUGCAAGUCGAGCGGAUGAAGGGAGCUUGCUCCUGGAUUCAGCGGCGGACGGGUGAGUAAUGCCUAGGAAUCUGCCUGGUAGUGGGGGAUAACGUCCGGAAACGGGCGCUAAUACCGCAUACGUCCUGAGGGAGAAAGUGGGGGAUCUUCGGACCUCACGCUAUCAGAUGAGCCUAGGUCGGAUUAGCUAGUUGGUGGGGUAAAGGCCUACCAAGGCGACGUUCCGUAACUGGUCUGAGAGGAUGAUCAGUCACACUGGAACUGAGACACGGUCCAGACUCCUACGGGAGGCAGCAGUGGGGAAUAUUGGACAAUGGGCGAAAGCCUGAUCCAGCCAUGCCGCGUGUGUGAAGAAGGUCUUCGGAUUGUAAAGCACUUUAAGUUGGGAGGAAGGGCAGUAAGUUAAUACCUUGCUGUUUUGACGUUACCAACAGAAUAAGCACCGGCUAACUUCGU